GAAAUUCAAGGAAAAUAAAAAAUUACCAAAAUGUCCCUAAAUUUUGGUAUUUCUGUAAUUUAGCCUGGUAAGUUCGUAUGAACUAUAUUAUGUAUAAUUUUAAUUAAAGUGAAUGUUAUUUGGUGAUGAAUAUUAUAUAAAUAUGUGUUUUAUUAUUGGAAUUGAAUUAUUAUUGGUAAUAUGUAUAAUUAUUAGAUGCAUUGAAAUUAUUUAUCGGAAGCUCUGUACAGCCCAAAUUUACCCGGGCCUCACCAAAUAACAGGCCCAAAAAUUUAAAACCUACCCAAGCCCAAUUACAAAACCCAUUACCCAAAACACAAAUCAAAAAAAAGAAACCCUAACCCUAGGUGCGCCGCACCUAGGGCCUUCUGCAUCUGCCGCCGCCGUCAAUCAUCUCAGCCACCUGCCCUCUGACUCGCGCCGCUCGCCCAUCACCCCACUUGCCUGCAAAGAAGAAAAUCACGCAAAGCACAGUGGCAAACAGAGAAAAAGAAAAAAGAAGACUAAAAUAACAUGUAAAAUUGGCUAUAAAGCCAAGUAUCAUCUCUGUAACAAGCCCCCCCUUUUUUGCAAAAAAACAUUCAAGAAAUAAGAAAUAAAAAAACAAAUUCAACAACCCCAUUUUCGGUAUAUUUAUUUUCUUUUUCUAGUUUUUUUUCUCUUUAUUUUUUUUUCCUUUCGAAUUAUUUGUGUUCGAUUUUGUUUCUUUUAUUUUUUUAAAACUAUNNNNNNNNNNNNNNNNNNNNNNNNNNNNNNNNNNNNNNNNNNNNNNNNNNNNNNNNNNNNNNNNNNNNNNNNNNNNNNNNNNNNNNNNNNNNNNNNNNNNGACGGCCCCAUGACCGGAGGCGGCCGGACCCUAGCCGAGAGGACUGAGAAGAGGGAGAGUUGAGAGAGUAUUUUGUGUUUUUUUUGAAGAGUGGAAGAGAAUGAAUUUUUGCUAAAAAAUUGGAAUUUUAUACCCCUCUUAAACGGCGUCGUUUAGGGCUUGGCAUCAUAGCCCUAAAACGACGUCGUUUAGUCUUUAGACCCGAUCCACCCGACCCGCCUGCCAAGGAUCCGCGUGUUUUCUAUCAAGGGGUUAUUUGCGCUUCAGGCCCUUCCGCAUUUUCAGUCUGUUUCAAUUUGGACCAUUUGUCUUUUUUCUCCUAUUUUAAUUUGGACGACGGAUUUGUUCCCUUUUUUAAUUUGAUCCUCAAUUAGUUGGGCCCCUAAGGAAGGGACGCGUGGCCUGAAAAUCAGGUUUAUUACCCAUUUGGUCCUUCUUCCUUUCGCGCCCUUCUAUUUUGGUCCUCCUUUGUGCAUUUUAUUAUAGUCUUAACCUUUAAAUUUUAUUUUUAUCACAAAUUGACCCAUUUUGUUAUUUUUGUUGUUUUAUUAACUAAUCUAGCUAUUAUUAUUAUAUUUUGCCAUUAUAUAUAUGUAUAUUUACGUCACCAUUAUUAUACCAUUUAGUUUUACAUUGUUAUUGUUAUAUNNNNNNNNNNNNNNNNNNNNNNNNNNNNNNNNNNNNNNNNNNNNNNNNNNNNNNNNNNNNNNNNNNNNNNNNNNNNNNNNNNNNUAUUUAUAUCUUAUUAUAUAUAUCUAUAUAUCUCUUUAUAGACACGUUUUUUUAGCUUAUAUACAUACAUAUGUUUUGUUAUACAUACAUACAUAUACGUCUAUAUCCAUCAUUCAUUUUUAUAAAAUAUAUGUAUAUACGUCUUUUUUUUUACAUAUAUAUGUACAUACUUACACUGUUUUAUUUUACAAUAUACAUACUUAUAUCAUUUAUUUUAUGUAAUAUAUAUGUAUGCACAUACCCAUUUUUUUAUUUAUAUAUGUACAUAUUUAUACUUUUAUAAUAUAUAUACAUGUGUAUGUACGUGUUUUUAUAUAUAUAUACACAUACUUAUACAUAUUAUUUAUAUUUUAAAAUCUAUAUUUUUCUUACAUAUUUUCUAUAUUUUAUAAUUCACAUACAUAUGUUUUUUAUAUAUAUAUCGCAAUACAUAUUAGCAUCGUGUUUCAUUUUGCCCAAUAUAUCAAAAUCCAUUUCAAAUAAAUUAAAUCUCGUGUUUAGAUAUUUGAAAAGUUGUGCCCUAACUUACUGGGUUUCGAUUUUCACAAUAAAUCUAAACACGUGAAUAUUUUCAAACUCGAGUUUUCAAACGAUCUCGGGAAUUAAGAAAAGAUCGUGUCCUAACUUACUGGGCAUGAUCCCUUUUCUAAACCCGAGAUAAUUAAAAGUCUUUUUAAAUAAAUAAAUUUUUCGGCAUGUACUCUCGUAUCGGGAAUUUGAUACGUUGUGUCCUAAUGCAUUGGAUAUGACAUGUCGUUUUCUCGNNNNNNNNNNNNNNNNNNNNNNNNNNNNNNNNNNNNNNNNNNNNNNNNNNNNNNNNNNNNNNNNNNNNNNNNNNNNNNNNNNNNNNNNNNNNNNNNNNNNUAAAGGCAAUAUUUUGCGUUUGGAAAUUCGAGAAAACAUGCCCUAAGGUGCUGGGUGUCGAUUUUUCUCGUUCAACCAAAUAGCUAAGUAUCCUUCCAAAAAUUUCAAAAUAAGGCAAUAUUUUGCAUUCGAAAAUUCAAGGAACGUGCCCUAAUGUGCUGGGUUUCGAUUUCCCGAUUGACCGAAUAGCCAAAUAUCCUCUUGAAUUUUAAUCCAUGCCAUUCGAGUUUUUUUCGGAUCGUAUUUUAAAUUUCUUUAAAGUUUUCAGUUUUUCGACACUAAGACAUUAAGUAAUCAACUAGGUACCAAUUUUGGGCGUAUCGAGGGUGCUAAUCCUNNNNNNNNNNNNNNNNNNNNNNNNNNNNNNNNNNNNNNNNNNNNNNNNNNNNNNNNNNNNNNNNNNNNNNNNNNNNNNNNNNNNNNNNNNNNNNNNNNNNNNNNNNNNNNNNNNNNNNNNNCUCAUCAAAAAUGAUUGGUGGCGACUCCCGUUUUCGUUUUCAUUUUCAAAACCCAAGUCGACUCCGUUUUUCAUCCAAAAAAUGGUGUCAACAAGCUCGAUUGAGUUGGAAGCUUGUCGGAGAUAUAUCACACUAUCCAUUGGUUCUAUCAGUAAUUUUGGAUGAUUUGAUUCUGGUUAUAAUGGCAUGAAUAAAUUAAAUUGGCCAACGUUAGCUCAUUAAUGUUUUGAUUUUGAUUGGUUAUAAAUAUGAAUGCUUGUUGAAAUGAAAUAUUUGUAAAUUAAUUUGUAAACUCUGGUAAUGCUCUAUAACCCUAUUCUGGCGAUGGAUACAGAUUAGGGUGUUACAAUUAUUUUUUGAUUUUUCGGUUAACGGUUAAUUCGGUUCUAUACCAGUCGGUUAACGGUGACUUAAGACCACACGGUCGUGUGCUCUAACCGUGUGGAAAUGCCUACAUUUUAUGGGGGUCAAAAUGCCCGUGUGGAGGGAGGCACACGGCCAUGUGGCUGAGGCACACGCCCGUGUGAGCCAGGGACAUGGCCGUGUGAACAGGUCGUGUAACUCUUUGUCCAUUUAUGGUAAAAUAGAGUACAGGGUAGACACGGCCAUGUGAGAGUCUCACACGCCCGUGUGGAUCCCUAAAUCCCCAAAUUGGCCACACGGCUAUGUGGCCAGGUCGUGUGGCACCAAAAUUUACCCAAAAACCCUAAUUCCUAACUGCACACGGCCAUGUGGACCGCCCGUCUAGGGGCACACGCCCGUAUGGGGGCACAUGCCCGUAUGGUCACGAAACCACCCUAAAAUAGCCCAAAAAAACGUGCUUUCACCCUCGAAGCACUUCCCAACCCUCGAUCACUCAAAAUUACACCAAAUCAAACAAGUUAUGAGCAUAAAAACAACGGUAAAACAUCGUAGAUGUAACACUCCUAGCUCUUACCCGUCGCCGAAACAGGGUUACAGAGCAUUACCAGACUUUUCAGAUCAAAUAUGAAUAUUUCAUAACAUUUAAUAUACAUAUCAGAAACUAAUCAUAAAUCACUCAUAUUAUCCCUUUUAUGAGCCCUCGAGUCCCAAAAUACACAUGAGGAAAUAAUCGAGACUAAACCGAAAACUUAAAGAAUUUUUCUCAAAAUUUCAAAAUAUUCCUUAGUUGUAUGGGACACACACCCUUGUGGCCAGGCCAUGUGGCUCACACGACCAAAAGACACGCCCGUAUCUUAGGCCAUGUGGACAUUCAAAAUAAGGCACAUGGCAUGUCCCAGCCUGUGUCCAUACCCGUGUAACUCUCUGACUUUGGUCAUACGGCUAAGCCACACGCCCAUGUGCUAGGCCGUGUGAGCAUACUAAUUUAUGAAAUUAAGGUUCAGAGGUCACACAGCCAAGCCACAUGCCCGUGUGCUAGGCCGUGUGAAAAUACCUAGACAUUCUGUUUCUUAAUUUUAAGGAUGCAGGGGACACACGACCAGACCACAUGCCCAUGUGCCCUGCCGUGUGUCACACACGACUAAGACACACACCCAUGUCUCUGCCUGUGUGGACGAAAUUAGGCCAUUUUAAGGCAACAUUUCUCACCCAUUCUUGAUUUCAACAUAAAGACCUCAAAUUUCAUACUCAUAGGCCAUAACAAGACCUUCAAUACAACCAAUUCUUAGCUUUAAAAAUGUCAUACAAUCAAUUCACACAUUUGAUUACUUACAAAAACCAUAUUUUACCAAUUUAUUCACCAAUAUGCCUAUAAUUUAUCCAUCAAUUAACCACACCUAAACAUACAUCAAGCAUGAUAAAACUACACAUAUAUAUUUAAGUUGUUUAUGUGAACAAAACAUCAUUUAUAACAUUUAUACAAGCUAACUUUGAUCAGAUACACACCAACCCUAUACAUGUCAUAUAAACCAUAAUGUACGUUUCAAAGACUAUCGAAAUGAGUUGGAUAGUGUGACCUGUUGUGCUGAUCCAAUCUCCCGACUUGACGAUAAUCUGCAAAGACAUUAAACAAUACAAAUAAGCUUAAUGAAGCUUAGUAAGUUCGAUAGGUUAAACAUAAAUCUUAUCGAACCUACUAUAACAAAUCAAUUAAGUAAAUCAUUCAAUGUACACUUCCUGCCAAUCACAACCCCAAUUGAUGAAUACACUUAUUUCAGAUCAAUUCCAACAUUAAAUAACAAAUCUUCCAAUUCCAAUUAUAUAAGUCACUUACCAAAUCGAAGAACGGCUUACGAAUAAGAGUACAUCAUUUUCAGAAGCCCGAAGGCUGAACAGAAGCUCAUGAGAGCUAAACAGAAACCCGUAAGGGUUAAACGGAAGCUCGUAAGAGCUGAACAGAAACCCAUAAGGGUUAAACAGAAGCUCAAAAUAGCUGAACGGAAACUCAUAUGAGUUAAACAGAAGCUCAUGAAAGCUAAACGAAAAGUAAACACGAAAUUUCACAACAAAUGCUGAACCUCGGUUAACUUGGGUAAUUUGACACAUUUUCCUCCAAUACCGUCAAUUCGCCGAAUGUCGAAUGUACUCAAAUCCCACGUUCCAUUCGUUUCGAACAUUCAAUUUAAUUUCAUAACUUUAACAAUAUUUCAUUUUCAACAAUAGAUAUGAAUAAAUACAUAAUAUCAUUCAUCAAUCUAAUAUAUAUAUUAAAGUUUAACUAUACGAACUUACCUGGAUUAAAUCGUAAGAUUUGCAGAAGUUCAAAGACUAUUUUGCUAAUUUUCUUUUUUCAAUAAUAUCUACGAGCUCUUGAUCUAAAAUAUAAAUUAUAAAUUACUCAUUUAUUAGAAUAUAUUCCAAUUCCAAUUCACUUCACAAUUAAUACCCCUCAAUUUUUUGAAAUUACACAAUUGCCUUAACUUUUACAAAUUUUGCAAUUUAAUCCCUUAAUUAAUUAGUCCACUAAAUGAACUAAUCUUUCUCAAUUGAUAAUUUAUCUAAAUAUUCUAGCUAUCAUACAGCCCUUAAUAAACAGAAAUUAAUAGCAAACCCUAGUAUUUAACCUUUUUACAAUUUGGUCCUAAAAUCUAUAUCUAUCAAAAUCACCUUAUAAAAUCAUUAUACAACAAAAUUAAAGCUCCAAAUCCAUGUUAUUUCAUCAAAAAAAUCAAGUAUUCAUCAAUGGCAUCUUUCAAAUUUUCCAAUAAAAUCAAAAACUAAUAAAAUAGUUAUUGGACCUAAUUGCAAAAGUCUUAAAUUUCAAAAAAAAAGACAAGAAUUGAACUUACUUGAAGCAAAAAUAUGAACCGGCAUUUUUGGACUAAAGAUUGGUGAAGAAUUGACUAGAAACUCUUUUAAUUUCUAAUUUGUUUUCACUAAAUUUACAAUUUUGCCAUUAAUUUUCAUUAAUUUAUUAUUUUUUAACACCUAUGUCGCCUCAGCCAUUACCUUUAGGAUUAUUUACUCUUUAAAUCCUCCAUAUUUACCAUUUAAGUCAUUUAAUCACUAUUUCUUUAAUUAGCAAGUUUUGAAAUUUUUUCAAUUUAGUAUUUUUUAAUUAAUUAACUAUCAAAACAUUAAAAUUUUCUAACGAAACUUUAAUACCACCUUAAUGACACUCCGUAAAUAUUUUAUCGAUUUAUAGAAAUGAGGUCUCAAUACCUCAUUUUCUAAACCACUUGACCUAAUAAAUCCUUAUAAAACACAAAUUACUAAUACAAAAAUCUUUCUAAAAUCACAUUUGACUUGUAAAUACUAAAGCUUAAAAUUUGCGAGCUUACUCGUCAGAUUUGGCGGUCUUGAACCACUAUUUUCCUACACCACUAAAAAUCGAGUUGUUACAGUAGAUAAUAAAUUUGCGAACACACACAUAAAAUGUUGAUUUCCACAGUGUCAAAACAAGAAUUCACAAAUAAAUUAGAAAGAUGCGGAACCCACACCUGAUUCGCGAUCAAUGACGUUCAGACAUUGACUCGACGACAAGGAAGCGAAGCUCUCCAAAAUCCACAAGCAAAACCGUUUUCAAAAAAAAAUAAAGAAGAACAAAAGAAAAGAAACAAAGAAAGGGGAAGAGGAGAACAUCUAGAAAAAAAUGAAAAAAUAAAAAUAAAAAUAAAUAGUUAUAUCUUUUAACUUAAAACAAAACUGAUACUUAACAAAAACAAAAAGAAAUUAAAAAUAUUUUUCCAAAACACACACAAUUAAGGCUCAAACUCAAAACCUUAAGAUACACUAACACUCCUUCAACCACCAUACCAGCAGGCUUGUUCUAUUACUUAAAUGUGCAACUAAACACAAUAGCACAACUUUCUCUCUGAACCUAACCACAAAACUCAAAACCAUUAUUGAAAAAGGAAAACUUAACAAAGAAGGAUUGAAAUGAAAGUCGGGCGAAGCAGUCCAAGUCUUUUUUAAACACCCCUCCCCUUACUUAUUUUCCCAUCGAAGAAAAUAAAAUGGAUAUUACAAGGAUAUUGCCUGAAGAGUGCCUGUGUUUGAUCAUAUCGUUGACUUCGCCUGUAGAUGCAUGUGGAUCGGCUAUGGUUUCUCACGCUUUGAGAUCGGUUGCAGACUGUGAUGCAGUGUGGGAAAAGUUUCUGCCGUGUGAUUACAAGUCCAUCAUAUCGGGAUCGUCGUCGUCGUUGCUUUCGCCGGGGAAAAGAAGGAUCUAUAUUUUCAUCUCUGUUUCCAUCCCAUUCUCAUUCAAAAUGGUACCAUGGUAAUCCCCAAAGCUCACUCUUUAAUCUCUUUCGACUUUUGUUCUUAUAAAGCUUCACAUCAUGUAGUUAAAUGCUACUAAACGAUGUAUAUGUAUAUGUAUAUGUGAGCUGCAGGGGGUACUUUACUUUGGAUUCUUGAGUUCUAGAUGAUCAAAAUGCUUUUAACUUGAGUUCUAUGUUUAUUGCGUUUGGGAAAUCAAAAAUGUUUUUCAUAGCAGAAGCAAUGAAUUUUGGGGUCAAAUCUUUUGUGAAAAAGUGUUUUUCUGUCGAAACCUUAAAGUCUUUUUAUGUUUUGAAAGUAAAAAUUAUUAUUAACUAUUUAAAAGUAUAUAAAAAAUUAAUUUAAUUUAAUCAAUUGAGUUUUAGUACGAUUGGCAUGCACAGUUUUGUCAAUACAAAAGGACGUGAGUUUAAGUGUGCCGAAACGCAUUAUAAAAAAAACAAAUAUGAUCAAAACGGAUAAUAAGAUUAUUCAAAAAAAUUUAAAUUAAUUUAUAAUUUAUAUAUUAUUAUAUUAAAUUAUAUUCUAACCUUCAACCAUACUUUUUGACAGAAACGGAAAACACUAAAACUUAAUAAAUUGUUUUUUUCACGGCAUUUUUCAAUUAUAUUUUUCAAAAGCAUUUUUCAACCGCAACGACAAUAGAAAAUAAACUUUAAUACUCUAUUAAAUAAUGUGAUGUUAAAGUUAAAAAUUAUUUAAAUAAGUGUCAUGACAUACUAAGUAAUGUUUUGCACUUUCAUGCUCUCUUAGCAUUAAUACUCAAGGUUUGACAUAAUACAUCCGCAUUCAAUAUAGUCCCUGACAUUAAAAAAUGUGGUGAAAAUUUUUUGGUUUCCAAAACAUUUUAGUGUAUGGCAUUUGGAAAAUUUUAUACAUUUAUAUCUAAAAAUAAUAAAACCAGUCUAAAAACCAAAAACACUAUAUGUCAUAAUCCACAAUAUUUUACUGGUUUAACAUUGGUUGUGCUAUGAGUAACAUUACCUUACUAGUUGUGCCAACUGCAAUGCUAAAUAAAGCUUUAGAGCAUGCUAUUUUUUUACAUUGAUGUUAUGUUAUUUACUUUCAUCUUCAUGAAAUUCUCUUUGUUUUGUUCUUAUCUCGAAUGUUUUAAUAGGUUCUCAGAAGUUGCCGAGCUCAAACUUGUGUGGUGGCUCGAGGUGAAGGGGAUGAUUGACAUCAGAAUCUUAUCUUACAAUACAAACUAUGCAGCAUACCUUGUGUUUAAGCUUAGAAACAAGCGUACAAUUGAGUUUAGGCAUAGAGCCGUUGGCUUGCAUAUCAAUGUCGGCGGAAUCACCUCAUGGGAAGUGCGGAGGGUGUCGUUAGACCCUUCACAAAAUGGGACCCAACAUGUUCGAGAGAGAGAAGAUGGGUGGAUGGAGGUUGAAAUGGGCGAGUUUUUUAAUGAAUUUGGUGAUGAUGGAACUGUACAGCUUAGUCUUAGGGAGAUUGAUACAAGUUGCUAUAAGCAAGGCCUCAUUAUUGAAGGAAUUGAGCUACGGCCUAAAGAUACUGGUAGCUAGGUAGACUUUGGAUUAGGGUUUGGUAAGCUCUACGGCCUAAAGAUACUGGUAGCUAGGUAGACUCUAGAUUAGGGUUUGAUAAGCUCACCUUAUUUGAAGUGAUUCACAAUUUCAUCUAACUCGUAUGAAUGAUAUUUUAAAAUUUUCAAGCUGUGUGUUGAUUCAAAAUUAUGUAUUUUUCAAAUAUUUUUUUUAUUUUUUAGUUUUACCGAGCAAUAGGUAGAAAGAAAAUUUUCUACCAAGUACAUAUAUACAACGAAAAAUUAUAGUUUUCAUCUUUUUAUUUUUUUAUCUAUUUAAUUUUUCUUCUUUUCAAUUUUAUUUUCACUCCACUAAAUAAAGCCUAAAAAACGGAUUUGAACAAUAAAGUUCUAAUAAUUAUUGAUUGAUUUGUUCAAUAGUUCAUCAUUGACAUUAACUAUGUGCUUUGGAUAUCAUUGAAUCAAAUCAACAAAUACAUUAAUCAAAAGCCAUUAAAAUGUGCUUGUAACAAUCUGUGAAAGCUAAACUAAAGGUGGGUUUGGAUGGGCGAUUGGGUGCGGUGCGUUUAGCUUACUUUUUGUCUCACGCUACAGUAUCACUACGGUAUCUAAUCUCACCGCCACCACUGUUUUUACACUAACCGCUGGUAAACGCACCGCCCAUCCAAACUCACCUUAAUAGACAUAAUAAUAUAUAAAAAAAAAAGUAGAGGAAAAGAAUAGAGAUGAAAGUGGACAUGGCAUAUUGCUUGAGAGAGUGUUUUAUCUCGAUUGGAUCCUGUCAUCGACAUCGCCAACUGAUGCUUGACGAUCGUUGAUUGAGUCUCCGAUCUUUAGGUUUAUAGAACGGGCAAUUUAAGUGAAUUCAUAUUAUUUUCAAGUGCAUUAUAUAAGUUUUUGACAUGUUCGAAUAUUUAUUCAUUAUGUUUAUGUCAUUGAGCAAUAAUGUAUUUUAAUUCAUCAGGUUUUUUAUCAAGUAAUUGUAUUUCAUUUGUAUGUACAUCACCACGAUGAAAUUGGCUGCUUAAUUACUAAGGAAUUUGUCAAAAUGGGAUGUGGGAUCUAACGAGUUUGGGUCGGGUCGAGUUUGGGUCAAGUCAAGUCAAGUCAAGUAAAAAAUUCAGCUCAUUUUCUAGGCUCGAAUUCGGCCUGGACCGAAAAAUAAGUGUAAAAUUUUCCUUAAGUCCGGCAUAGAUAAAAAUAAUAAAGCCUGAGCCCAGUCCGGCUCGUAUUAAAUUUUUAUAUUAUUUUUUAUAUAAAAUUUUUAAAAAUAUAAUAUAACAAAUACACUAAAAACAUUAAAAUAAAUGUUUCCCAACAAGUGAAAAAGAAUUAAAAAAUAUAUACUUAAAUAAUACUAAGAUACAUGUAACUUAGCAAGCUAAUACUUCUAUAUUAACAAUAAAAUAGUACCAAUAUAACAGUGAAAUUACAGCAAAACAGUAAAAAAUAAAAGCAAUUAUUUUUUGUAAAUUUGGGUUGGGCUCGAGCAAAAAAAGCUUACCCGUGACUUGACCUAUUUAGAAAAUGAGCCUUAUCUUUUGUCCAAUCCCAAUUUUCAGGCUUAUAUUUUUAUCGAAACCCUCUCACUUUUCGAGCGAGCCUUCAAGUCAAACUGGAUCUCAACCAAGAACAAGUCUAGAUCUAACUCUAAGUGAUAUUUAAAUGCUUAAUUUGUGAGCAAGGAAUGGAUUAAUAUGAGAUGUGAGAUCCAACCAUAACCUAGCAUGAUAAAAUUUGAUUGAUAUUUAAAUGCUUAAUUAGGCUAUACUAUAACAAAAGAGGUUUGCUAGAUAUCAAUUUAAUCAAUAAAUUUAAGAAUUGAUUAUAUUAAAAACUACCCAAUAAUCGGAAUUUCUUUUAAACAAAAUUUUUAUUCUAGCUUUUCUUAUCAAUCGCCCAAAUAGAAAAUGUGACAUUAUCUAGAAUAUAGGAUUUAUUAUUAUCGACACUAAAAUUAGUAAAUUUUAACUUCACAAGCUAAAUUAAAAAACUAGCAUCUACCCAACCUUUUAUUUUUUAAAUAUAUAAUUUAUAUAAAAACGAAGUGAAACUUGAUUUUGAAAAAGUAAUGGAGUCCAGGCUGUUAGAUUUGACUGGGAAAUGACAUGACGAUUUGGCUUCAUUUUCUGUUUUUGAACUUUUUAAGUAGCCCAUGUUUUAUUCUUUGAUCAGCCCAGCACUGCUGUGGUUUGUUUCAACUCUAGUUUUAGUUUUCUUUUAUCCCCUUAAUCAUAUCCCAGUCAAUUUAUUCAAAUAUAUAUAUAUAGUAAAGUUAAAUUUUUUAUAUUAAUAACUUUUAGAUUUAAAUUUGUAGUUUUUUAUUGAUUUUAUAUAUAAAUAUAAAAAAAUAUACUCAUAAUAAUAUAAUUGUCUUUGUAAAAAAAGGUGAAUAUUCCUGUACUGCCCCUUGUUGGUCCCAAGGGACAGAGGAGGCUAGGUUAGCCAAAAGAUGGUUAUCGGUUCAAGGACGCAAGGUGCCCCUGCUUUUUCAGGGUAAGAAGGGGUAAAGAAAAUGCCCCGAGCCAAUGUUCGAGUACUAGGCGCUACGGCGGUACUUAGUUGACUCAUGACAUCAAAUUAGCUAGAUGUUUAAUAUAUUUUUGGGUAAACUACAUCGUUUGUUACUCUAGACAGGGAUCGUUCCUAUUUUAGUCACCCUAUUUUUUUUUUUAAUUUAGUCACCCAAAUUAGAAAUAAUUGUUUUUAAAAAAUUAAGAUUUACUAUUAUCAAACAAAAUAAUUAUACUCAAUGCUUAAGUUUUACUAACAUAUCAACAGUGUUAUAAUAUAAAUUCAAUACUUAAUUUUUCAGUAUUUAUAUUUUUAGUUUAUCAAAUACAUUCUCACUCAAUGACCCUUUUUUUAUAUAGUACUUACUUCCAUCUAUAAUACCUCUGUAAUAAUAUAAACGGGAAGAAAAUACACACUUAAACUUAUAUUCUUUUAAUUAUUAUAAUAAUUUAAAAUUUGAAGUCAUAAAUGUAUGUAUCCUCAUUAAAUUUUUAAAAAAAAUUAAAGUCAAACAUAUUAAAUAUUAAACCAUUGAUUUACUAAAAAAACAUGUAUCACUUCUUUUCUUUUUUUAUAACAACCAUGGAAUCAAGAUCAACCUCAAGAUGUUCCUGUAAUAAGGUUAGGGUCUCUUCAUAUACUUACAUCUCAUCAUAUUUCUCAUUUACAAAUUUAGCCAUCCAAUCAGCUACUAUGUUGUGUUCCUUAGGGAUAUGUCAAAAACGAACUUUUCAAUUUCGGCAUAGAAGUUGACUAAUCAAACGCAACUCUGAUAUCAUAUUAUUACCCGCACCACCAGCUAAGAUAAUUUCAGCAUUAUCACACUUCAACUCCAAUUGUUUAAAACCAAGCUCUCAUGCUAAAUUGAGGCCUUCUAAUAUAGCUCUUACCUCAAAAUUGAAUAUUGAAUCCUUCUCAAUCCUCGUAGCAAAUCCGCACAUCCAAUUGGUAUCAUGGUCUCUAAAUACUCCUCCAAUCGCAACAGUAUUAUUGUUUUCCGAAAAUGCACUCUGUGUUCAACUUAACCCACCCUUUCUUUAGCGUCUUCCAAUGAACUCCCCACACCUUCUAGAUGUGAUGGAGCUCACAUGAUUUUGAGUUCACAAAUCUUAUUGCCCAGGCUAAACCUGUGCCCAACAACAUCAACAUUACUAGUAUUUAUUGCCAUACAUAUCAUUGAUUUUUCAUAAGUAAUCUAAUAUUGCCUGAAUAUCGGUAGAAAUAUCGAUCAAGAAAAUGAUAAAAAAAACAGUCAAUUCAUGAAUCAGUAUGGACCUAUUAAACUAACAGUUGAAUCGAAUUUUAUAAGUUUUAAAAAAAUAAUUAUUUAUUCUUAAAAUUUCUAAUAAUUUACUUGCUUAUAAUCAAAUGAAUCAAUCAAAUUAAAAACUGAUAAACUAAAUAAAUUUACUACUUGUCCCGCUUCAAAAACAUUAUAAAAAUUUAACCUUUAUUCAUAAACAAAUUUAGAUAACUAAAUAUAAUGGUUCAAAAGAUAAGCAUCUUCAAGUAAAUAUUUUUAAAAUUUUAAUUUGUUUUGGUUUUCAAUGAUUGAGACUUUGUUAUGCGACAUUUGAUGUUAUAAUGUCAAUUUUCUAAAAGGAAAAUAGAAAAGUAAAAUUUAAAGAAAAAAACUACUUGAGGCUUCAAUGCAAAAAAUAUGGUAAUAUCAUCGCAUUAGAUUUAUUUCAUCCAUCAGUUUUAUUAUAUAUAUAUAUAUAUAUAUUAGUUUUUAUUUAACUUUUCGUCUUUUUCAAUUUUUCCAUUUGUAUUAUUUAUCAAAUCACCUCAAAAUAUAUAUAAAAAAAAACUUAACAUUUGUUGACUUUUUAGUGACAUACACGUAAAUAUCAUCAAUUACCUUUUUAAAAAUAAAAAAUAUAAAAAAAUUUGUUUUAAAAAAUAAGACUUAUUAAAAAUAUUUUUAAUGUUCAAGUAAAUAAUCAAGAAUUUUCAUGUUGAUAAGAGCAAAUAACAAGAAAUAGGAGAGCAGAAAGAAGUAAAACUCUACUUCUAAUAAAUUUGCUUAAUCAUCUAGUAUGAGGUUAAUUUGUAAUUUUUUUUCUAUAAAAAACUAAAAUAUAAUUCAAAAUAUGGUACAAUGAUUUUGUGGUACUUUUACCUUUAUCUUCUAAUUUAUUUUAUUAUGUUUUUGAUUGAUUUAAAACUCAAUUAAAUAAGAUUGUGACAAGUAAACAUUGACUGAUUUAUUUUAUAUUAUUUUCACCUGUCUUACGUGUCAAAAUCAAGAUUAACACGUACAAUUUAAAAUUGUUAUUUCAUAUUAGUAAAUGCUAGUUUAUUAAAAUUUAACCAGAGAUUAAAUUGAUGUAUUUUACUAAUAUAAGUUGCUCUCUUAGAUAAAGAGAUUUGACGUUCCACGUAUCUUUUAAAUUUAUUUUUAAGAAAAUAAACAGUCCACGCUUUUCACAAGUAUCAAGGUUUCUUUAUCAAGUCUGGCAGUGUGUCAAGUCUAAGCCUUUAUCCGAUUCAUAAAUUAUUAAUUAAAACUAAAAAAUUUAUACAUAUAUGUGUGGGGGAAUCAUAUAAUUAAAAUAUUUUAUAUAUAUAUAUAUGAUAAAAUAACAUACAAUAAAUAUAAAAUGUACUAUUUAAAACUAAUAAUAAUAAUAUACAUAUUAUAGAACAAAAUAAAAUGUAUUUUUAAUAUACAGAUGUGACCCCUCUCGUCUUUAAAUAUUUUUCAUAUGUAUUUAUAAUCUAAUCCUAGUGUAAUUUUUCAGAAAAUAUUAUUUUGGUACCAAAUAAAUUUAAAUUUGUUGAAUCAAGGGUCAGUUUCGGCUCAGGUAUUAAUUUUUCAAUUCUUUUUGGUUUAUUUUUCAGUGCAGGCAUUUUAUUGUACCCCAUGAAAUGCUUAUUUAUUAUAUUGCUUUUAAAUAAAUGGUUGCAAUUUUUUUUGUAAAUAUUUUGAACAGUCUAAAAUAAAAUAAAAAUAAACUUUUAUUUAUUUAUAUUUAUCUUUUUUUGCAAAAGAAAAUAAUUUUAUUUUAUUUAAAACUAAUCCCUCUUGUUUUUAGCAUUUUGUUUCCUCGGGUUAACUUUAUCCUCGUUUUAGUAGUCUUUUGCUUCUUCAAAUUUUAACUUGAGUUCAACCGUAUAAACUCACAUCCUUUGCACCCUAAACAUAUCAAACACCACCAACCACAUCCUUUCCUAAAAAAACCAUUGUCGUAUCCCUUAACCAUCGUCGAUCGAACCUCCUGACUGCCGUCCACAUCAGCCGCCACACCUAACCUCCGACCAAACCACCAACACACAACCUAGCCGCCCCAUAGCCGAUGCCACCUUAUCGCCCUAACACUCAUUAACUCGAAUCCUUGCCGAUUUUUCAUGAUUUCUGAACCUACAUUCCAACUAUUCAAAUAUUAUCUCCUAAGAGAAAAGGAAAUGCAUCUCAAACUGAUGAACCCCGGGAUCGAUUCCAUAAAGAAGAAGUAAGAAAGAAAUCAAUCGAUGCUCCCGGACAAAGGGUUCAAUUUGUUACAUAUUGAUUGUACUACAGUAUUGUCAAAUAUUUGGAAAAUUGUCAAUGCAUUGAAGUGGAAUUUAUUCUGUGACAUAAGACCACAUUCUGAGGCUAAAUUUGUAACACCCCUAACCUGUAUAUGUCGCCGAAAUAGGGUUACAGAGCAUUACCAGAAUUUUCAAAACAAGUAAACAGAUAUUUUAUAUCAUAUAGCAUUCAUAUCAUAAACCAAUCGAAAUCAAGCAUAAUGCCCCUUAUGUGAGCCCUCGAGUCCCAAAAUACACAUUAGAAACAAGUUAGAACUAUAUCAGGUACUCAAAGAAUUUUUUCGGAAAACACUAAAAUUUUUCAAAUAUACAGGGGGCACACGCCCGUGUGGCCAGGACGUGUGUCUCACACGGUCAACAGACACGACCAUGUCUCAGGCCAUGUGGGCAUUCGAAAUAGGGACACAUGGUCGUGUCUCAACCCGUGUCCAUACUUAUGAGCUCUUUGACUUGGGUCACACGGCCAAGCCACACGCUCGUGUGCUAGGCCGUGUGAGCAUUCUGUUUUGCAAAUAAAAAGAUACAGGGGACACACGGCCGUAUCACCUGGCCGUGUGGACAAAAAUAGGUAAUUUCCAAGCCACAUUUCUCACCCAAUUUGCCAACAACCUAACCAAACAUUUUUGGACAUCAACAAUCUAUAUCAAGGCAUUCAACCAAGCCAAAACCAAAUUUUAUACAUGACAUAACACCACAUAUAUCUAAGAAUCCACACUUACCAAAUAGACCAAAUACUCAUAUAUGCAAAUUUAUACCAAACAUUUAAUUUGAAACCAAUCAUCAACAUACCUAUAAAUUCACCAUCAUUCAACCAUAUCAACACAUAUCAAACAUGACAAGGUCAUAUAUAUAUACGAAAUACAAGCCAUACAAAUGACUAAUCAGCAAAAUGUUUAUAUGCCAACAUUGGUAAAAUUAACCUAUACAUCCAUUAUAACCAAAAUUAGUUUACUAUAUGUACUGAAAAGGUCGAUGGAUAGUGUGAAGUAGCUCCGACCAACUUCUAACCAAAUCGAGCUUCCAAAUUACUAUAAAACAUGGAAAAUAAAACAGAGUAAGCAUUUAAGCUUAGUAAGUUUGUAUAACAUGGAAUUUAACUUACCAUUUAUUCACAUUUAAGGUAAGCAUUCAUAACAUAUCCAAACCAAUUUGGCCAAAAACAUAUACACAUAUCCUCAACAUGUUAGCCAUGUAAAUCUCAUAUAAUAUUCCAUAAAUAUGGGUGAACAUAAUCACCAAUAAAGUUCCAUAUACAUGUAUCAUUCCAUUUCAAGUUUCAAUAUAUAUCAUGUAAUAUCAUUUCCAGUAAAAGUUCAUGUCAUUCUCAUAUAAUCUUGUAACAGAACUGUGCCCGUUGAACCAUUUAAAAUAUCGUUAGAUACAUGGGAAGUACACAUAAAGUGCACAAAACUAUAAUCCGUCAAUUUAUAUUCAGGAAUGCUCAUACGAGCAUGUAAACGGGAAGCUCUUUCGAGCCAUAUAACGAAAAGCUCAUGUGAGCUAUAUAACGGGAAGCUCAUGCGAGCCAUAAAUUAGGAAGCUCAAUAGAGUCAUUAAUCUGAAAGCUCGUGAGAGCCAAAUAUCAGGAUGCUCAUAAGAGUUGUGAUGUGUCUGCAACACAUGCAGGACCACAACCAAUCCGGGAACCCUAAUGACAUGUCAUUUGUAUUUAUCGAAUUUCUAAGGUUCAAACGGGACUCUGUACUUGUCCGAUAUGUGAUCAAUAAUAUAUAUGGAAAUUUAUACAAAUCACACACAACAAUAUUCAAUUCAAAUCACACAAAUAUACAAUUUAGUUACACGAAUUUACCUUGUCAAGUAUACGUAGAUUUGUAAGCUACCGAUCCUAUACUUUUUCUUUUCAUCGAUCCAAUUUCAUACUAGGUCUAUCCAGAUCUAUACGAAUGAAUUUAACUCAAUUUAAUACAAUUCAUAUUUAAUUCAAUCUAAUACACAUCAUUAGAAAAUUUACUAUUUUGCCCCUAUACUUUUAAUUAAUUACGAUUUAGUCCAUAGGCUCGGAUAAUGAAAUUCAUACAAUUUAAUCCUUAUUUCAAGUCUAACCGAUUUUUAUACAUAUCAAUAGCAGCCCAUAUUUUUCACAAAUUUUAGAAUUUUUCCAUACAUUUUUCAUCUUUUCAAUUUAGUCCCUAAAUCAUAAUUUCAUCAAAAUUCUCUUUACAAAAGUUGUUUAUCUAACAAAAACCUUUCAUUUUUUACCAUAAAACUUCAAAAUUCAACUAUACUCAACCAUAUCAAAACCCUAAUACUUUAACAAUUUUACUAAUUAAUCCCUGAGAUAGCUAGAUUAAGCUAUUACGAUCUCGGAAACAUAAAAAUCAUUAAAAACGGGAAAAGAAUACUCACCUAAUUAGAAAAAUAAGCUUGUAUAUAUUCAAGCUUCCAUGGCUAGGGUUUCCAUGUUUUAUUUUAGGAAAGAUGAUGAAAAUGAUGAUAAUUUGUUUUAUUUUAUUUAUUUAUCAUAAUUUUAUCAUUUACUUUCCAAAAUUAACCUUAUCUACUAACUCCUCUAAAUGGUUUAUAUCCACAUAAAGACCUCCAAUUUUAAAUUCCAUAGAUAUUUGAUACCUUUAACUACUAGAAUUCAACUUUUGCACUUUAUGCAAUUUGGUCCUUUUUAUCAAGCUAGGCAUGUAAACGGUAAAAUUUGUUAACGAAAUUUUCAUACGAUAUUUCUAUCAUACUGUAGACCAUAAAAUAAUAUUAAAUUAAAUUUUCUUUAGACUUCAAAUUUGUGGUCCUGAAACCACUGUUCCGAUUUCACUGAAAACGGGUUGUUACAAAAUUGGCUCUGGAACUCUAUGCAAAUUUGACUUCAUCGAUUGAAACAGAAGUUCCUGUCCAAGGCAGGAAGGUAUCUUUUGCACCUAAAGUUAUUAAUGAUUUCUUUAACUUACCCAAUAUAAAAAAUGAUGAUUAUAUGAAAAUGUUGAAAUGCGUUGAUGGGGAGUUAUUGAAAGAAAUAUUAAAGGAAGUUACAAUUCUUGGAACUAAUGGAUAAUUUCUAAAUCUGAUAGUCAUACUUGUCGGAAAGAGUUUCUGAAUCCAACAGCAAAGGCAUGGUUUUAUUUCAUAUGAUUCAGUCUUAUGCCUGUCUCACACAAUCAAUGUGUUACAACUCAUAUGCAUCAACAACAGCAACCUUGUUGGAGAUAUGGGAAAAUUUGAGACAACUCGAUAAGGGAUGGCAUUGCUAUGUAGAAGCAACCAGUUGAUGAACCAUCCGAGACAAAACCACCUGAUCAUUCAGAUAAGUCAAAACUAGUUCCUAAGCCAGAACCAACCAUUUAUCCUGACUUCACAACACCUACCGGACCUAUUAAACCUGAAUGGACUGAGCCAACACCCAGUUUUCCAUCAUCCAAAAUUGUUGCACAAUCAGACCAGUCUGAAAUCAUGAGCAUGUUACAACACAUGCAUCAACAACAGCAAGCUCAUUGGAGAUAUAUCUCAAUUACAUCAAUUACAUCCAUAUAAAUUUAUUUAUAUGUAAAUAUAAAUUUUAAAAUUAUUAAUGAGGUUCAAUCAUUUAAUUUAAUAUUUUUUAAUUUUAAAUAUAAUUGUAGAAAAAUUAAAAAUUAAUUUAAAAUAUCAAAUUUUGUACUAAUCGGUACAAGUCAAUAUUGACCGAAACACACCAAAUUUUUGAUCGAACAGGAACAUAGACUACUUACCAAUUUAGGAUCGAAACAAUACGACCGAUACUGACUACCAUGGUCACGGAUGAACCGUGCACCAAUUUGAUUAGGAAAAUUACUAAAUAUCAUUUUAUAUUAAAAAUAAAUUAUAUUAUUUGAUGAUAUUUUAAUCUUUUAUUAAAAAUAAAAAAAUAUGCCAAUUAUAUUAAUAAAACCUUAAAUUUAUUACUCAACUAAAGUUUUACUUCAAUAUUUUUGUAUACAUUUUAAUUUUAUUAUGUUUACUUCAUUACGUCCAUCAAUUAUAUACUUUAAUAAAGUUGUUGAUUGAGUUGGUGUCACGAAUUAACUUCACAGUCGACACCAACUUAGAAUUGACGACAAUAUUAUAAUAAAUAAUUGUAUUUAUUUAAUAUAUUCAUUUAGUAUUCUUGAUCGAAUAUAUUUUUAUGUUUAAAUUUCGUUUUAUUUUAUUUAUUUUGAUAUUAUAUGUAUUUCGUUCAAAGGUAUAUAUUUUAUUAUUUACUAUAUAUUAUUUUUUAAAUACACUUGUAGGAAAGCCCCCAAUCCCCAAAGAGAAUGUAAGCGUAACGCAACUUUGAAAAGGAUAAAAGCAAAACAGAAUUACUUCCACGCUUCAAAGACGAAGAACACCCAAAAUAACAUAAAAUAAAAUUAUGGAAGAGCUAAAGCCAAGGCCUGCAAGUUGCUUCCCUUUCACUCCAUUAGGCUUCUUAGAAAGGGCGGCCACCGUCUACGGCGAUUGCACCUCCAUCAUCUACAAUAACACUUCCUUCACCUGGUCCCAAACCCACCGCCGAUGCCUCCAGCUAGCUUCUUCCCUCUCCUCCAUCGGUAUCGGCAGCGGUCACGUCGUCUCCGUUUUAUCCUACAACAUCCCCGCCAUGUACGAGAUUCAAUUCGGCGUUCCCAUGUCUGGUGCUAUUCUUAACUGCAUCAACACCCGUCUCGACGCUCGCACAGUCUCCGUUCUCCUCCGCCACUGUGAACCGAAGCUCCUCUUCGUCGAUACCCUCUCUCAGUCUCUCGCCCUGGAAGCCAUCUCCCUCUUCCCCCCUAACAAAUCCCCCCCGCUUCUCGUUUUAAUCCAAGACGAUCACGAUGACGCCGGGGGUUCCAAUUCCUCAUUAUCCACCGUUGAUUCUCGCUUCUGUUGCACGUACGAGAGCCUGGUGGAGAAAGGCGACCCUAAUUUCAAAUGGAUUAGGCCUAAAAGUGAGUGGAGUCCGAUUGUUUUGAACUAUACAUCAGGCACCACAUCAUCCCCCAAAGGAGUGGUUCAUAGUCACAGAGGAAUUUUCACCAUGACCGUUGAUUCUUUAAUCGAUUGGGAGGUUCCAAAACAACCAGUUUAUUUAUGGACACUCCCCAUGUUUCACGCUAAUGGGUGGAGUUACACUUGGGGCAUGGCUGCCGUCGGCGGCACCAAUGUUUGUGUUCGCAAAUUCGAUGCCUCCACCGUAUAUAGUUUAAUUAAGAAACAUGGUGUCACUCACAUGUGUGGAGCGCCUGUUGUGCUUAACAUGUUAUCCAAUUCCCCUGAAAUUAAGCCACUCCCAAAUCCUGUUCAAAUCCUUACCGCCGGAGCUCCACCGCCGGCGGCAGUGCUGUCUAGGACCGAGUCACUCGGAUUCGUCGUGAGUCACGGUUACGGGUUAACCGAAACGGGAGGGCUUGUGGUAUCUUGCGCUUGGAAAAGGGAAUGGAACAAGCUACCGGCGACGGAGCGAGCAAGGUUGAAAGCGAGGCAAGGAGUGAGAACCAUCGGAAUGACGGAAGCGGACGUGGUGGACCCUGAGUCAGGACUCAGUGUAAAACGAGACGGGUCAACUCUUGGGGAGAUCGUUUUAAGAGGCGCCUCUGUCAUGUUGGGUUACUUGAAAGACCCAAACGCCACCAACAAAUGCAUGAAAGAAAAUGGGUGGUUUUACACGGGAGACGUCGGCGUUAUGCACUCCGAUGGGUACAUGGAAAUCAAAGACCGUUCAAAGGAUGUUAUAAUCAGCGGCGGCGAGAAUCUGAGCAGCGUCGAAGUUGAGUCGGUUCUGUACAAUCACCCGGCAAUCAAUGAAGCGGCGGUAGUGGCUCGACCAGAUGAGUAUUGGGGAGAGACUCCUUGCGCGUUUGUGAGUUUGAAAAAUGAGUUGACUCAGAAACCGAGUGAGCAGGACAUAAUACAGUAUUGCAGAGCUAAGUUGCCACACUACAUGGUGCCCAAAACGGUGGUUUUUAAGGAAGAAUUGCCCAAGACGUCGACGGGGAAGGUUCAGAAGUUUGCUCUUAGAGAUAUGGCGAAGGCGCUGGGUCCUUCGUCAUCUUCCUCACGGCUGAGUCGGAUGUAAGCUCCCUUGGUACUCACUAUCUGCAUGAUCAACAUCGGAUUGCCGUAAUUAUGAAAUAGUAGUGAAAGCUGAAUUUAUGACUUAGUAAAAUACUCUUACGAUCUGUACGGGCUUUAUUAAUAACACAUUAAACUUUCAUAAAGUCUUAUUCUUAGUGCCUCGACUGCAUUAUUACAAUAUAUUAAAAAUUAAGUUCGUUGGUGGAUUGAGUUGAGACUUAUCUCUGGGAUUUCGAGUGCGUUAUUUAAGCGCAUUUAAUGGAAUAAUUUUAGAUAUUAUAUUAAAAAUAAAAAUUACACAAAAACUACCCUUCAAAAUCAACAAGAAAUAUAUAGAUGGAGAAUCUCCAGCGCCUUUAGUGUAUAAGUUAAAGGAGAUUUUAGCGUCAAAGAAAGUCGGUGUUUUUAGUUUCAUAAAAUAUUGGGCACCAAGGAAAAAGUCGGUAUAUUAGCUUAUUAUAGUACUAAUUCCGUAAGCUGAUAAGAACACCCGGAAAGGACAAAACAAAGAGAUGAAGCGUCGUGCUAUAUUGAUGUAGACAAAAGCGUGGUGCUAUAAUUGAUGUGACCAUUUUUCUCUUUUUGAAUCUACUUAUUAUCAAUUAUAAAAAAUUUAUUUAAUUUUUCUUUUUAGUCGCCAAUGUUAAAUUGGCUAACAAAAAUACGAUGUAGUACCUUUUAAAUUUGAUGUUAUUGAUGUUGGGAUUAGAUAAGGUAGAGAUGGCAUCAUUAUUCGACAGUUCACUUCGUUUAUGUCAAGGUGGAGAGCCACCCACCAUAGGGGUUGUCUAUGUAAUAGUGGUGAUUAAGUCGAGUUUUAGAGAAUGGAGAGGAUGGAGGGCGAGAGAGAAAGAGAGAAGAAGAAAAAGAUCUUUUAUUAGUCAGGGGUUAAAGGUCUAUAUACCCUUAGCUACAAUCCUGAGAAAUCAAGUGGCAUGUCCCUAUUGGUGAGUCAAGGGGAGUGGCCAAGUUGUUUGCCACUAUAGGUCUAAGUAAUGUGACGAUUGGACGUGCUUUAAUUACUUCAAAUAGAAUGUGGUAUUUGAGAUAACCGGUGACAACUAAUAAGUGAGGUCUACUUGUACUUAUGUGAAUGCAAAGUCAAUGAGUAUCUCAAAGGGUUUAUCUCAAGGAUAAGCAUGACCUUUAUUUGACGUAAGCCAAAAGGUUGUCUCUAAGGGGUGGAGGUAUAACAAUUACCCCUAGUCAAGAGGGAGGUUAUAAUAGCCUCGUUUUCAAAAAAAAAAUCAUGCCCAAUGAGUAGGCUUGAUCUACCAAAAAAAAACUCAUUUUACUGUUAAAAAAUAAUACAAUAAUAAAAAUAUAUUUUAUAUUGAUAUUUUAUAUUUUAUAUUUAAUUUUAAAUUAAAAUAUUAUUUAAAUAGAAUACGAGCCGACUCGAGGUACAAAAAUCCUUGUCCAACCUUGACCCAAGUCGAGCGAGCCUAUCAGGUCAAAUGGAUUACCAAGCUUUUGGGCCUAUCUAGUAUGGUCCAUGUUGCUUAGAUGUUCACACAUGUGUGUACUCGCAUUUAUGGAUGUGCGUUACAGUGCAUCAUAAGGAAACAUCAAUGAUAGUGUUUGUACCCACUAAUGUCAUAUAAGGGCAUGGAUUCAAACCCCACCAAGGCCAAAUGCUCACAUUUCUUUGCUCCUUAAACUCCAUGGACCUGUUUGGAUUCUCCCCGGAGCCAAGAGACAAAACCUAGGGACAAAAUCAAGCAUAAACACCCUAAGCCCAAUACCUCCACUAUUUGAAGGUCUAAGACUCCGACCUCCCCUCAACAAACAUAAUAGCAACUUUAACCAUCAAACAUUUAUACAUUCUGUAUUUUUGUCUUUUUUUUUGCGAUUUUGCUUUUCUUUGUAAAAUUUCACCUAAAAAGCAUUAAAAAAAUUCAUCAACUGAAUUUAUUUUUUAAAAAAAAAUACUAAAAAUGGAAACACCCCAAAGCCCAAGACAAUAGUUUUCCCUCUUUCUCAUUCUUUUCUCUUAAUACUGUAACUCUCCAUUGUUGGAUUGAACACUAAUGGCUAAGAUGACUCAGUCUUCACAGGUUCACUCUUCACCAAUUUCAUAAGAUUUGUGCUUGAAUUGUUUAAAGUUGAUUCAAUUGAGCUACUCUUGUUAUUGUUGUUGUCAUUGUUGUUACUGUUUUCGACAAACAAAGAGAGCUUCACCAUUUGUUCAAUUAACCCACUACAAAAAGGAAAAUGAAAGUACCUUUGAAAUCAUCAACUUUUAGAGCUAGAGCCACAAUAUGCUUAGUCAAGUUCAGGGAAUGGAUAAAUUGAAUGGCUUGGGAACUUGAAAUUUCAAACAGAGUUAUGAAUGAACUUGCCUUAUGGGUUGCUAGAGCUGAAAUCAAACGAUUCGUUGGUAAACAGGAGGAAUUAGAAUGCUACCACUUCAUCCAUUUGCAACGUUAUCCUUAUGUUUGACUUAAUGAAAAAUUGAAAAAUAACAAUAAAAAAAAUAAACCAAAAUUUGAAAAAAAAAACCUAUUCAAAUCAUUGAAAAUAAAAAGCACCCAUUUCAUUAAUUCAACAAAGUUUCAAGUCUAACUGCUUCAAAAAAAAAUUUAAGCUUUGAUUUAUUUUAUCAAUAGUAGUCGACCCAAGCUAAUAAAAAUGAGUUAAUUGUCAUUAAGAGAUAUCAAGUAGUUAGCCAUAUGAAGUAUAUGUGUUGACACCAUUUUUUUGAUGAAAAAGGGGUCGACUUGGAUUUUGAAAAAUGAAAAUGAAAACGAAAAAUGGGAGUCGCCACCGAUCUUUUUUGAUAAGGUGUGAUCGGGUCACCUCGUAAAAAUGGUUGUUUUUAACAAACAAUUUAAUUUUAUUAAAACAAGAAGUUUGGUCCACAAAAUUCAGAAAACGGGUUCGGGAGUCGGUUACGCACGAGGAAGGAUUAACACCCUCGUAACGCCCAAAAUUGGUACCUAAUUGAUUAGUUAAUGUCUUGAUGUCGAAAAUUUGAAAACUUGAAAAAGAUUUCAAAAUGCGAUCCUUGUAUUAAAAUGUUAAAAUUUUUUGGGAAAAAGGGGCAUAUUUCACGCUAAUCGAGAAAAAAAUAUCAUAUCCAGUAAGUUAGGACACAAUGUCUCGAAUUCCCGAUACGCAAAUAAAAAAGCUUAUUUAAAAGAUAUUUGGCUAUCUCAGAUUUAAAAAAAGAAUCACGACCAGUAAGUUAAGACACGAUCUUUUUUAAUUCCCGAGAUCGCUUAAAACUUGAGUUUGAAAAGAUUUGUGUAUUUAGAUUUAUUGUGAAAAUCGAAACCCAGUAAGUUAGGGUACGAUCUUCUCGAAUUUUAAAAUACAAAAUUUUGUUUAUUUUAAAACCAUAUUAAAUAAAAUUAAUUGAGUAUGAAAUGGUAGGAAUAAACACAAUAUUAACUUGUAUAACAAAAUGAUGAUGAUGAUACAAGCACAAAUAAUAUAAGCAAUAAUAAAAAAAAUGAAAUACAUAAAUAAAAGAAUCAAGUUUAUGAAGUAAUAAAUAAACAAUAAAAGAAAAACUAAAACAUUUCCUAAAAAUAAUAACGAACAUAUGAAUAAAUAAAUGAAUAAAUAUCAAAUAGAAAGACAAAAACAACACGAAAAGAUAAAAUAUAUAUGUAUGUAUAUGUCUAUCAAAUUAAAAAGUGCAAAAAUAUAAGAACGUACAUAUACAAAUAUAUACGCUUAAAAAAUGUAUGUAUAUAUAUAAAUAUAUGUAUACAUAAAUUAUAGAACAUAUAUAAAAAUAUAUAAGUAUGUAUGUAAGUAUGUGUAAAUAUUAUAAAAUAAUAAUACAAAUAUAUAUUUUGGUACGUACAUAUAUGUGUAAAUAAAUUAUAAAAAUAUACACAUGCAAAUAUAUACCUUAAGCUUAUAAAAUAUAAGAGAAUGUAAACAUCUAUAAAUAUAUAUAAAGCUAAAAUAAUAAAUAUAUUAAUACAAUAGUAACGAAUAUAUAAGAGGAGAAUAAAAUUAACAAUAAUAAAUAGUAAUAAUAGUAAUAAAAAAUAACAAUAAUAAUAAUAAUAAAUGUAAUGAUAAUAACAUUCAAAUAAUUAACUAAACAAUAAAAUUGCUAAAAAAAGACUAAAUCGAAAUAAAAAUGAAAAUACUGGGCAAAUUCAAAAAUAAAAAGGACAAAAGGACCGAACUGUGACACGCGCAGAAAGAGGGAGGUCCAAAAUGGUAAAUAGACCAAGCACCCCAAAACGCAGCGUUACGAAGGACCAGAUUGAAACAAAAAUUAAAUUAUGGGGCUAUAUUAAAAAAAUGAAACAAACGAAAAGGGAGUAAAUUAAGAGAGCCAUAAACGCGGAGGGACUAGGGUUGUAAAUAACCCAUUCCGCGAAAAUGCGCGGACCCCCUGGAGCGGGUCGGGUCGCGCGCGGGUAAGGGGCCUCAAAACGGCACCGUUUUCCUUUUAUUAUUUAAACCCAAAACAUUUUUUUAAUCCAUUUUCAGCCCCUUUUUCCCCAAAAAUCUGAAAUAAAACCCUCAGCCUCCUUUUCUCUCCUUUUUCCCCACUCAACCCCCAAGUUCAGACCACCGUCGCCGCCACCUUGGCCAGUGGCCGGAGUUGCUGCGAGAAGGGCCUCUUGGCCUUCCCUU
RNAcentral lists this long non-coding RNA (25705 nucleotides) under Gossypium raimondii (Peruvian cotton). RNAcentral describes it as "long non-coding RNA (GRAI_LNC004995)". The record is from RNAcentral. Lineage: Eukaryota; Viridiplantae; Streptophyta; Magnoliopsida; Malvales; Malvaceae.